RNAcentral lists this ribosomal RNA (501 nucleotides) under uncultured Staphylococcus sp. RNAcentral's name for it is "bacterial SSU rRNA". It matches the Rfam family "Bacterial small subunit ribosomal RNA", at positions 944 to 1444 of the family's 1533-position model. Lineage: Bacteria; Bacillati; Bacillota; Bacilli; Caryophanales; Staphylococcaceae. The record is from RNAcentral.
GUUUAAUUNGAAGCAACGCGAAGAACCUUACCAANUCUUGACAUCNUNUGACCCCUCUAGAGAUAGAGUUUUCCCCUUCGGGGGACAGAGUGACAGGUGGUGCAUGGUUGUCGUCAGCUCGUGUCGUGAGAUGUUGGGUUAAGUCCCGCAACGAGCGCAACCCUUAAGCUUAGUUGCCAUCAUCAAGUUGGGCACUCUAAGUUGACUGCCGGUGACAAACCGGAGGAAGGUGGGGAUGACGUCAAAUCAUCAUGCCCCUUAUGAUUUGGGCUACACACGUGCUACAAUGGACAAUACAAAGGGUAGCGAAACCGCGAGGUCAAGCAAAUCCCAUAAAGUUGUUCUCAGUUCGGAUUGUAGUCUGCAACUCGACUAUAUGAAGCUGGAAUCGCUAGUAAUCGUAGAUCAGCAUGCUACGGUGAAUACGUUCCCGGGUCUUGUACACACCGCCCGUCACACCACGAGAGUUUGUAACACCCGAAGCCGGUGGAGUAACCAUUU